Molecule: ribosomal RNA, 3574 nt
Filed under: Plenodomus biglobosus/Leptosphaeria biglobosa 'brassicae' group
Lineage: Eukaryota; Fungi; Ascomycota; Dothideomycetes; Pleosporales; Leptosphaeriaceae
Also listed under: 1 other name
Description: eukaryotic LSU rRNA
Rfam family: Eukaryotic large subunit ribosomal RNA
Source: RNAcentral
ACAACUUUUAACAACAGAUCUCUUAGUUCUAGCAUUAAUAAAGAACGCAGCAAAAUGCAAUAAGUAGUGUGAAUUGCAGAAUUUAGUAAAUUAUUAAAUCUUUAAACGCAUAUUGCGCCCCUUAGUAUUCUAUAGGGUAUGCCUAUUUAAGCGUUAUUUGUACCCUUAAGCUCUACUUAGUGUUAGGUGUUUAUUCUACUUAGGACUUGCCUUAAAACAAUUAGUAGCUAGCAUAUUAGCCUAGAGCGCAGCAUAUUUUACGCCUCUUGUUAUAGUUGUUAGUAUCUAUUAAGACACCUUUUAAGCUCUUAACCUUAGAUUAGGUAGGGAUACCCGCUAAACUUAAGUAUAUUAAUAAGCAGAGGAAAAGAAACUAAUAGGGAUUGCCCUAGUAACAGCGAGUAAAGCGGUAAUAGCUUAAAUUUAAAAUCUAGCUCUUUUAGGGUCUAAGUUGUAAUUUGCAGAGGGCGCUUUAGUGUUAGUAGUAGUCUAAGUUCCUUAGAAUAGGACGUUAUAAAGGGUAAGAAUCCUAUACGUAGUCGCUAGCCUUUGCCGUGUAAAGCCCCUUUAACAAGUUAAGUUAUUUAGGAAUAUAGCUCUAAAUAGGAGGUAAAUUUCUUCUAAAGCUAAAUACUAGCUAGAGACUAAUAGCGCACAAGUAGAGUAAUUAAAAGAUAAAAAGCACUUUAGAAAGAGAGUUAAAUAGCACAUGAAAUUGUUAAAAGGGAAGCGCUUGUAGCUAGACUUGCCUAUAGUUACUUAUCUAGGCUUUUAUCUAGUGUACUCUUCUAUAGGUAGGCUAGUAUUAGUUUAGGCAGUUAGAUAAAGGUCUCUGUCACGUACCUCCCUUUAGGGAGGCCUUAUAGGGGAGAUAACAUACAACUAGCCUAGACUAAGGUCCGCGUAUCUACUAGGAUGCUGGCGUAAUAGCUAUAAGCGGCCUGUCUUAAAACAUAGACUAAGGAGUCUAAUAUCUAUGCAAGUGUUUAGGUGUUAAGCCUAGACGCGUAAUAAAAGUAAAUAGAGGUAGGAACCCUUUUAGGGUGUACUAUUAACCAAUCCUAAUGUCUUUAGAAGGAUUUAAGUAAGAGCAUAGCUAUUAGGACCUAAAAGAUAGUAAACUAUGCUUAAAUAGGGUAAAGCUAGAGGAAACUCUAGUAGAGGCUCGCAGCAGUUCUAACGUGCAAAUUAAUUGUUAAAUUUAGGCAUAGGGGCAAAAGACUAAUUAAACUAUCUAGUAGCUAGUUCCUGCUAAAGUUUCCCUUAGGAUAGCAGUAACGUAUUUAGUUUUAUAAGGUAAAGCGAAUAAUUAGAGGCCUAGGGGUUAAAAUAACCUUUACCUAUUCUUAAACUUUAAAUAUAUAAGAAGUCCUUAUUACUUAAUUAAAUAUAGACACUUAAAUAUACUAUUACUAGUAGGCUAUUUUUAGUAAGCAGAACUAGCAAUGCAGGAUAAACUAAACGUAGGGUUAAGGUGCUAGAAUGCACGCUUAUUAGACACUACAAAAGGUGUUAGUUUAUCUAGAUAGCAGGAUAGUAGCUAUAGAAGUUAGAAUCUACUAAGAAGUGUGUAAUAACUUACCUGCUAAAUAAACUAGCCCUAAAAAUAGAUAGCGCUUAAGCGUGUUACCUAUACCCUGCUACUAGGGCAAGAUUUAAGCCCUAGCAAGUAGGCAGGCGUAGAGGCUUGUAACAAAGCCUUAGGGGUAACCCUAGGUAGAAUAGCCUCUAGUAUAGAUCUUAGUAGUAGUAGCAAAUACUUAAAUAAGAACUUUAAGGACUAAAGUAGAGAAAGGUUCUAUAUAAAUAGCAGUUAGACAUAGGUUAGUUAAUCCUAAGAGAUAGGGUAAUUCUGUUUUAAUAUUAGCGCUUACGCUACGCCCUUAAAAGGGAAGCUAGUUAAUAUUCUAGCACCUAGAUAUAGAUUCUCCGCGGCAACGCAACUAAGAGCGGAGACCUUAGCAGGAGCCCUAAGAAGAGUUCUCUUUUCUUCUUAACAGUCUAUUACCCUAAAAUUAGUUUAUCUAGAGCUAGGGUUUAAUAGCUAGAAGAGCGCUGCACUUUUGCAGCAUUUAGUGCGCUCCUAAUAAGCCUUAAAAAUCUAAUUAAAGAAAUAGUUUUUACGCUAGGUUAUACUUAUAACUAUAGUAGGUCUCUAAGGUAAAAAGCCUCUAGUUAAUAGAAUAAUAUAGAUAAGGGAAGUUAGCAAAAUAGAUCUAUAACUUUAGGAAAAGAAUUAGCUCUAAGGGUUAGGUACGUUAGGCCUUAGGGAGAAGCCUCUAGCGUAGAAGGGCACUAACUGCAAGGUAGGCGCCUCUUAGCGCUGGGGUGUAGACACCCUUAGCAGGUUUUGGCCGUCUAGCGUACGUUUAACAACUAACUUAGAACUAGUAUAGAUAAGGGGAAUCUAACUAUCUAAUUAAAAUAUAGUAUUAUAAUAGCUAGAAAGUAGUGUUAAUAUAAUAUAAUUUCUGCCUAGUACUCUAAAUAUUAAAGCAAAGAGAUUUAACUAAGCGUGGGUAAACAGCGGGAGUAACUAUAACUCUCUUAAGGUAGCCAAAUGCCUUGUUAUCUAAUUAGUAACGCGCAUAAAUAGAUUAACAAGAUUCCUACUAUCCCUAUCUACUAUCUAGCGAAACUAUAGCUAAGGGAACAGGCUUAGCCAAAUUAGCGGGGAAAGAAGACCCUAUUAAGCUUAACUCUAGUUUAAUAUUAUAAAAAGAUAUAGGGGGUGUAGAAUAGGUAGGAGCUUUAGCACUAGUGAAAUACUACUACCCUUAUUGUUUUUUUACUUAUUUAAUAAAGCAGAGCUAGGCCUUACUACCUAACUUCUAGUGUUUAAGGUCCUUUGUAGGCUAAUCUAGGUUAAAGAUAUUAUUAGGUAGGGAGUUUAGCUAGGGCGGCAUAUCUAUUAAACUAUAACGCAGGUGUCCUAAGGGGGACUUAUAGAGAAUAGAAAUCUCUAGUAGAGUAAAAGGGCAAAAGUCCCCUUGAUUUUGAUUUUUAGUGUGAAUACAAACUAUAAAAGUGUAGCCUAUUAAUCCUUUAGUCCCUUAAAAUUUGAGGCUAGAGGUGCUAGAAAAGUUACUACAGGGAUAACUAGCUUGUGGCAGCCAAGCGUUUAUAGCGACGUUGCUUUUUAAUCCUUUAAUAUUAGCUCUUCCUAUUAUACUAAAGCAGAAUUUGGUAAGCGUUAGAUUGUUCACCUACUAAUAGGGAACGUAAGCUAGGUUUAGACUGUUGUAAGAUAGGUUAGUUUUACCCUACUAAUAACCUUGCCCUAAUAGUAAUACCGCUUAGUAUAAGAGGAACCGCAGUUUUAGAUAAUUAGUUUUUGCGGCUGUCUAACUAGGCAUUGCCGCAAAGCUACUAUCUACUAGAUUAUGGCUAAACGCCUCUAAGUUAGAAUCUAUGCUAGAACAGGGUGAUUUCCGCCUGCACUAGUUAGAUACAAAUAGGCCUUUAGCCUAGAACCUUACUAGAUUAGCGUUAGCAGCCCUAUUAAAGUUAGGGUUGUUAGCUAGUGUAUUGCAAUUGUAUAGUGCGCAGGAUUAAAUCCUUUAUAGAUAACUUA